AGCGAACGCUGGCGGCAGGCCUAACACAUGCAAGUCGAACGGAUCCUUCGGGAUUAGUGGCGGACGGGUGAGUAACACGUGGGAACGUGCCCUUUGGUUCGGAACAACUCAGGGAAACUUGAGCUAAUACCGGAUGUGCCCUUCGGGGGAAAGAUUUAUCGCCAUUGGAGCGGCCCGCGUCUGAUUAGCUAGUUGGUGAGGUAAAGGCUCACCAAGGCGACGAUCAGUAGCUGGUCUGAGAGGAUGAUCAGCCACAUUGGGACUGAGACACGGCCCAAACUCCUACGGGAGGCAGCAGUGGGGAAUCUUGCGCAAUGGGCGAAAGCCUGACGCAGCUAUGCCGCGUGAAUGAUGAAGGUCUUAGGAUUGUAAAAUUCUUUCACCGGGGACGAUAAUGACGGUACCCGGAGAAGAAGCCCCGGCUAACUACGUGCCAGCCGCCGCGGUAA
RNAcentral lists this ribosomal RNA (449 nucleotides) under uncultured bacterium. RNAcentral's name for it is "partial 16S ribosomal RNA". It matches the Rfam family "Bacterial small subunit ribosomal RNA", at positions 29 to 523 of the family's 1533-position model. The record is from RNAcentral.